ACAAAGCUAACUAUUCUUUCGCCUUUUACUAAAGAAUACGGAGCGCUCUCCACGCGUAAGUGGCAUAAGCCUAUUCUUGGAGGGUUCUCACUUCACCGUGAGUCCCAACAAUCUUCUUAGUCUGAAAUUUUUUGGUUGGCCAUUUCGGCUGAUAAGCACCAGUCCCUAAUACAACUAUGCAGUUUGUUAUAAACUUAAUUUUGUCACGAAAUUGGGUAUUUUCGUGCAUUUUUCAAAUUUUUCAUGUAUACAUACACAUUUGGUGAAUUAUCAAAUUCCUAAGCAUUGUGCAAAAGAGAGAGGAGGAGAAAUGAAGAAGAUGAAAGCAAAAAAGAUCUAAACUUUCCUUAAGCUCUUUGAUGUCUUCCCUGUACGAUUCAAUCGACGAGUCGCAUCAACUCAGUUCGACUCUGACUAUGGAUGGAGGAGAGCUCAGUAUCACAGGUCUUUUGGCGAUCGGUGCGACAUUGAAGUCUAUGGAGCUUCAACUUGAAGCUAUUGGAGACUUAUUGCGUCAAAGGAAGGAAGCUAUUCCCAAGGGCAAGAUCUCUUCGUUUCUCUAUUUCCCUACUCUGUUUUAUAUUAAGAUGACCAAAUCUGAGAUUGACACUCUACAGGGACCUAUCUCUCAUCUUACUGUGGUUUAUAUGAACAUGGCAAUGACGUUGCAUCCAGAGUUGUUUUCAGAAGAUACAAAUAUAUGUUUGAUCCAGGAGGAGCCUAACAACAGUAUUAGCCCUGAGUAUUUGUGUGAUUUCAGGCGAUGAUUCUCUCCCCAAGCCCAACCGAGGAGGAGGAUAUACGACUGAACAACCAACUUCAGAAUGAACCGGAACCGUUGAGGCGUGAAAGCUAAGACAGACAACAGUUCAGUUGGUGUGGUAACAAAAGAUGGAUAGGCUCGUGCAGAAAAGUAAAGGAUAGGGUCGUUUUACUAAUUCGUAUCUCUAAUUUCUCUAGUUUGUUGAGAAAAUUAUAACCUGUGUCACCCACUUCUUGGCCCUCUUCUUGUGUCCAAGAGUAAUGGUGGGAAAGUGGUAAUUACAAUAUAGCAAUACUGAUAUGACUAUAUCAGCAGUUAAAUGGUUUUGCAUGAGUAAAUGGCAUGCUCUCUUUGAAUA
Molecule: RNA transcript, 1121 nt
Organism: Camelina sativa (false flax)
Lineage: Eukaryota; Viridiplantae; Streptophyta; Magnoliopsida; Brassicales; Brassicaceae
Source: RefSeq, a predicted model, not a curated record